RNAcentral lists this long non-coding RNA (356 nucleotides) under Ananas comosus (pineapple). Its description in RNAcentral is "long non-coding RNA (ACOM_LNC017481)". Lineage: Eukaryota; Viridiplantae; Streptophyta; Magnoliopsida; Poales; Bromeliaceae. The record is from RNAcentral.
CCGGGACCGAUCCCUUUGGCAGGUCCGGGCACGUCGAACAGACGCCGAACGGACAAAUCCUCCCGUCCGCCCAAGGCUCAACACAUGUUCAAUUCGAGUAAAGGAAUGCACAAGCGGAAACAUAUAUAAUGGCUUACACGAGGGUAAGCAAUAGCCAGAGUGAAAGAAUAUAAACUAAACAACUACACAAGUAUUAUGAUUCACUUUUGAUCACAUACAUUGCAUUCAACUAUCACAUUUGCCUUUACAUUACGUUACAUCAUUUCUUUUUACAUCAUAUUUUCUCAAAAUAAAAGAUUACAUUCUUUCUUUGACAUUUCUAAUCAUCAAAUACAAAAGACGAUAUAAGGGAAUGC